UACGGAGGGUGCAAGCGUUAUCCGGAUUCACUGGGUUUAAAGGGUGCGUAGGUGGGCAGGUAAGUCAGUGGUGAAAUCUCUGGGCUUAACCCGGAACUGCCGUUGAUACUAUCUGUCUUGAAUAUAGUGGAGGUGAGCGGAAUAUGUCAUGUAGCGGUGAAAUGCUUAGAUAUGACAUAGAACACCAAUUGCGAAGGCAGCUCGCUACACGAAUAUUGACUCUGAGGCACGAAAGCGUGGGGAUCAAACAGG
This 252-nucleotide ribosomal RNA is filed under the name uncultured bacterium. RNAcentral describes it as "partial 16S ribosomal RNA". It matches the Rfam family "Bacterial small subunit ribosomal RNA", at positions 524 to 776 of the family's 1533-position model. The record is from RNAcentral.